AGAGAGAGACAUGCGCGCAUAUCAAUAAGCGGAGGAAAAGAAACUAACAAGGAUUCCCCUAGUAACGGCGAGUGAAGCGGGAAGAGCUCAAAUUUGAAAUCUUAAAGGGUUUCCCUUUACGAAUUGUAGUUUAAAGAAGUGUUUUCUGUUGAGGUUUUGGUAAAAGUUCUUUGGAAUAGGACAUCAUAGAGGGUGAGAAUCCCGUAUUUGACCUUUACUUUCAACUUUGUGAUACACUUUCAAAGAGUCGGAUUGUUUGGGAAUGCAGUCCAAAAUGGGUGGUAAAUUUCAUCUAAAGCUAAAUAUUGGCGAGAGACCGAUAGCGAACAAGUACCGUGAGGGAAAGAUGAAAAGAACUUUGAAAAGAGAGUUAAACAGUACGUGAAAUUGUCAAAAGGGAAGCGUUUGACACCAGUGUUGUUUUUCUGAAAAUCAAUUAAAGAACUGUUUAUGCUAAGUUGUUUAGACUUUAUCAGCUAUCUGUUUAGUUUUGAGCUUUUCUUUAAUGCACUUUUCAGUUAACAAGUCAACAUCAAUUUCUUUUGCUGUAAAAAAGCUUGAGGAAGGUGGCUUGAGAUUCGUCUUAAGUGUUUAUAGCCUCUUGCCUAUGCAGUCGGAGAGAUUGAGGUCUGCAGCGUAGAUCCUUCGGGGCUAAAUGCAUUUGUGCUAAGUUACUAGCCUUUUAUAGACAACUUGUUGACUAUGAUUCGAUCCUGUAGCUUACUCGCUUAUGUAUUUUACCUACGCUUAGGAUGUUGAGCGCAUGUCUCUCUCU
Molecule: ribosomal RNA, 775 nt
Filed under: uncultured Neocallimastigales
Lineage: Eukaryota; Fungi; Neocallimastigomycota; Neocallimastigomycetes; Neocallimastigales
Description: partial large subunit ribosomal RNA
Rfam family: Eukaryotic large subunit ribosomal RNA
Source: RNAcentral